This 72-nucleotide transfer RNA is filed under the name Priapulus caudatus. RNAcentral describes it as "tRNA-Sec". It matches the Rfam family "tRNA". From Rfam's summary of the family: Transfer RNA (tRNA) molecules are approximately 80 nucleotides in length. Their secondary structure includes four short double-helical elements and three loops (D, anti-codon, and T loops). Lineage: Eukaryota; Metazoa; Priapulida; Priapulimorpha; Priapulimorphida; Priapulidae. The record is from RNAcentral.
GGCUCCAUGGCGGAACGGUAGCGCGUCUGACUUCAGAUCAGAAGGUUGCGUGUUCGAAUCCCGUCAGGGUCA